Gordionus sp. m RMFG-2023 is the source of this 1606-nucleotide RNA transcript. It is a transcript of the gene named histone-lysine N-methyltransferase SMYD3-like, with no coding region annotated. The record is from RefSeq and is a predicted model, not a curated record. Lineage: Eukaryota; Metazoa; Nematomorpha; Gordioida; Chordodea; Parachordodidae. The transcript is spliced from 12 exons.
AGAAAAAUUUUAAUUUCAUAAUUUAGUAAUUUCUAAAUAUCGGUUCAGUUAUCCACGCGCGACAAAAUGAAAGAAAAUAUUUUAUUAAGAAGAGGAACAUUACUAUUUUCAGAAGAACCUUACGCGGUAACUCUUUCGGAUGAUUGUAGAAGCACUCAUUGUUCUUAUUGUUUCGCAAAAAACAAGCUUUCCAAGUGCAUUAGCUGUGAGUUGCAUCGAUAUUGUAAUAAGGCAUGCCAAGCAAAAGAUUGGGUAGAUCAUAAAUACGAAUGUAAAAUAAUCAAAGGUUUAGCUUUAGAGGAUCGGGUCCGAGUUGAUUACCAAUUCCACCUCCUAUUUCGUAUAAUUUUUAAACUUGAGCGCAAAUCAACUAAAGAUGACCCUGAAAAUUUAAUAUCUUAUUGCAAUGAAAAAAUUAAAUUGACUAAAUACAACUUUAUGGAUUUAAAGGAACACUUCUUGAAGGAUAUGGAGAUGUCCAAAUCUGAAAUAAAAGUCCAUCUCGAUUUACUCAAAAUUUUAUUGCCCCAAAAAAUAUGGGAUAAAUAUGAACAAAUAUUGCCCCAUAUAUACUGCAAAAUAUUGAUUAAUUCAUUUACUAUAAUGGACGAACACCGGCAGGGAAUAGGCUCGGGAAUUUUUAUCAACCAUUCAAAAGUUAAUCACAACUGUAUCCCAAAUGGAGUUUGUAUAUCUAACGGUAGGACCCAACACUUGGUUUUGAUAGAAGAUGUUUACUUGCCCAAUGCGAAUGACUUGGAAAAAUAUGUGCAUAUUACAUAUAUGAAUCCGAUAAGCUCAACCUGUGCUAGACAACAUUUCUUCAAAAACAAUUUACAUUUUACCUGUGAUUGCGCAUUGUGUUGCUCAGAUAAGACUCAAGAGCAAUCAUCGAAUAGUCUAGAGAACGAAUAUAAGAUAGAUAUAAUAGAUGAAUAUUUACCAAAAUAUGACUUUCAAGAAUCUGAUUUGGAUAUAGAAGAAUUACAGAUAUACCAGGAGCAAUAUUUUAGCCAAUACCUAACAAAAAAGAAUCAAGUUCUGUUUAGUCAGAAGUCGAAGGCUGUAUCAUUCCCAGUUUCUACGAACAUAGUUUACAACACCAUGCUACAGGCAAACAUAGACGCUAAUGUGAUAGAUACCGGGCGAAAUCUUACGAGACGUGACCCCGAAGCAAAGAUCAUCUUCAAAAUAAUGUACGAAAUGUGCAGAGCUUUGGAAAGUGGACAUAUCUUGAAGUUUUUGUUUUGGAUGCUCAUUAUAAAAAAUUAUGGUAAAUACGAAGUGUAUUUAGCGAUACAUUGGUAUAGGAUGGCUACAUUGUCGAAAGCGUUGAACUACAAGUCGUCACCAAAUUAUUUACAAAAAUAAAACUAAAUCCACGACCCAACGAUGAAGGAAGGCAUUUUAUUAAAAAGAGGGACAUUACUAUUUUCCGAAGAACCUUACGUGGCAACCCUUUCGAAUGCUUUUAGAAGCAUUCACUGCUCUUAUUGCUUCGCUAAAAACAAGCUUUCCAGAUGCACUGCCUGUAAAUUUCAACGAUACUGUAAUAAGGAAUGCCAAGCAAAAGAUUGGGUAGAUCAUAAAGAUGAAUGUAAAAUAU